AUUGAACGCUGGCGGCGUGCCUAAUACAUGCGAGUCGAGCGAACGGAUAAGGAGCUUGCUCCUUUGAAGUUAGCGGCGGACGGGUGAGUAACACGUGGGUAACCUACUUAUAAGACUGGAAUAACUUCGGGAAACCGGAUCUAAUGCCGGAUAACAUUUGGAACCGCAUGGUUCUAAAGUAAAAGAUGGUUCCGAUAUCACUUAUAGAUGGACCCGCGCCGUAUUAGCUAGUUGGUAAGGUAACGGCUUACCAAGGCAACGAUACGUAGCCGACCUGAGAGGGUGAUCGGCCACACUGGAACUGAGACACGGUCCAGACUCCUACGGGAGGCAGCAGUAGGGAAUCUUCCGCAAUGGACGAAAGUCUGACGGAGCAACGCCGCGUGAGUGAUGAAGGUUUUCGGAUCGUAAAACUCUGUUAUUAGGGAAGAACAAAUGUGUAAGUAACUGUGCACAUCUUGACGGUACCUAAUCAGAAAGCCACGGCUAACUACGUGCCAGCAGCCGCAGUAA
Molecule: ribosomal RNA, 513 nt
Filed under: uncultured bacterium
Lineage: Bacteria
Description: partial 16S ribosomal RNA
Rfam family: Bacterial small subunit ribosomal RNA
Source: RNAcentral